ACGUCGUGAGACAGUUCGGUCCCUAUCCGUCGCGGGCGUAGGAAAUUUGAGAGGACCUGUCCUUAGUACGAGAGGACCGGGAUGGACAUACCUCUGGUGUACCAGUUGUGCCGCCAGGCGCAUCGCUGGGUAGCUACGUAUGGAUGUGAUAAACGCUGAAAGCAUCUAAGUGUGAAACACACCUCGAGAUGAGAUUUCCCAUUCCUUUAUGGAAGUAAGACCCCUGAAAGAUGAUCAGGUAGAUAGGUUAGAAGUGGCAGUGCGGUGACGCAUGAAGCGGACUAAUACUAAUCGGUCGAGGACUUAACCAA
Molecule: ribosomal RNA, 311 nt
Filed under: Lactiplantibacillus plantarum
Lineage: Bacteria; Bacillati; Bacillota; Bacilli; Lactobacillales; Lactobacillaceae
Description: partial 23S ribosomal RNA
Rfam family: Bacterial large subunit ribosomal RNA
Source: RNAcentral